This 30-nucleotide non-coding RNA is filed under the name Mus musculus (house mouse). Lineage: Eukaryota; Metazoa; Chordata; Mammalia; Rodentia; Muridae. The record is from RNAcentral. RNAcentral also lists the same sequence under 1 other name.
UCACAGAAUUUAAGGAUGCCAAACCAUUGA